AAUAUUGGACAAUGGACGCAAGCCUGAUCCAGCCAUGCCGCGUGGAUGAUGAAGGCCUUAGGGUUGUAAAGUCCUUUUAACGGGGAAGAUAAUGACGGUACCCGUAGAAUAAGCCCCGGCUAACUUCGUGCCAGCAGCCGCGGUAAUACGAAGGGGGCUAGCGUUGUUCGGAAUCACUGGGCGUAAAGCGCGCGUAGGCGGGUCGUUAAGUCAGGGGUGAAAUCCCGAGGCUCAACCUCGGAACUGCCUUUGAUACUGGCGACCUGGAGUCCGGGAGAGGUGAGUGGAACUCCUAGUGUAGAGGUGAAAUUCGUAGAUAUUAGGAAGAACACCAGUGGCGAAGGCGGCUCACUGGCCCGGUACUGACGCUGAUGCGCGAAAGCGUGGGGAGCAAACAG
Molecule: ribosomal RNA, 398 nt
Filed under: uncultured bacterium
Lineage: Bacteria
Description: partial 16S ribosomal RNA
Rfam family: Bacterial small subunit ribosomal RNA
Source: RNAcentral